RNAcentral lists this transfer RNA (72 nucleotides) under Eleotris oxycephala. Its description in RNAcentral is "tRNA-Asp". It matches the Rfam family "tRNA". Rfam says of the family: Transfer RNA (tRNA) molecules are approximately 80 nucleotides in length. Their secondary structure includes four short double-helical elements and three loops (D, anti-codon, and T loops). Lineage: Eukaryota; Metazoa; Chordata; Actinopteri; Gobiiformes; Eleotridae. The record is from RNAcentral.
AAGACACUGGUAUAAAGGAAAAUACACUGCUUUGUCAGGGCAGAGUUGUGGGUUAAACCCCCGCGUGUCUUA